UACAGAGACUGCAAGCGUUAUUCGGAUUCACUGGGCGUAAAGGGUGCGUAGGCGGCUAUGUGUGUGAGGCGUGAAAGCCCGGGGCUUAACCCCGGAAUUGCACCUCAAACUACAUGGCUAGAGCAUUGGAGAGGGUAGCGGAAUUCACGGUGUAGCAGUGAAAUGCGUAGAUAUCGUGAGGAACACCAGAGGCGAAGGCGGCUGCCUGGACAAUUGCUGACGCUCAGGCACGAAAGCGUGGGGAGCAAAAGGG
RNAcentral lists this ribosomal RNA (253 nucleotides) under uncultured bacterium. RNAcentral describes it as "partial 16S ribosomal RNA". It matches the Rfam family "Bacterial small subunit ribosomal RNA", at positions 524 to 776 of the family's 1533-position model. The record is from RNAcentral.